This 465-nucleotide ribosomal RNA is filed under the name Vreelandella stevensii. Its description in RNAcentral is "partial 16S ribosomal RNA". It matches the Rfam family "Bacterial small subunit ribosomal RNA", at positions 338 to 795 of the family's 1533-position model. The record is from RNAcentral. Lineage: Bacteria; Pseudomonadati; Pseudomonadota; Gammaproteobacteria; Oceanospirillales; Halomonadaceae.
CCUACGAGCGGCAGCAGAGGGGAAUAUUGGACAAUGGGCGAAAGCCUGAUCCAGCCAUGCCGCGUGUGUGAAGAAGGCCUUCGGGUUGUAAAGCACUUUCAGUGGGGAAGAAAGCCUUGGGGCUAAUACCCUCGAGGAAGGACAUCACCCACAGAAGAAGCACCGGCUAACUCCGUGCCAGCAGCCGCGGUAAUACGGAGGGUGCGAGCGUUAAUCGGAAUUACUGGGCGUAAAGCGCGCGUAGGCGGUCUGAUAAGCCGGUUGUGAAAGCCCCGGGCUCAACCUGGGAACGGCAUCCGGAACUGUCAGGCUAGAGUGCAGGAGAGGAAGGUAGAAUUCCCGGUGUAGCGGUGAAAUGCGUAGAGAUCGGGAGGAAUACCAGUGGCGAAGGCGGCCUUCUGGACUGACACUGACGCUGAGGUGCGAAAGCGUGGGUAGCAAACAGGAUUAGAUACCCGUGUAGUC